GAUGAAGAACGUAGCGAAAUGCGAUAAGUAAUGUGAAUUGCAGAAUUCAGUGAAUCAUCGAAUCUUUGAACGCACAUUGCGCCCGCCAGUAUUCUGGCGGGCAUGCCUGUCCGAGCGUCAUUUCAACCAUCAAGCCCCGGGCUUGUGUUGGGGACCUGCGUCCGACGCAGGCCCUGAAAACCAGUGGCGGGCUCGCUGUCCACACCGAGCGUAGUAACUAACCUCGCUAUGGAGUGGCGCGGCGCCUGCCGUAAAACCCCCAAUUUCACAAGGUUGACCUCGGAUCAGGUAGGAAUACCCGCUGAACUUAAGCAUAUCAAUAAGCGGAGGA
RNAcentral lists this unclassified non-coding RNA (331 nucleotides) under soil metagenome. RNAcentral describes it as "partial contains 5.8S ribosomal RNA, internal transcribed spacer 2, and large subunit ribosomal RNA". The stretch from base 1 to 120 matches the Rfam family "5.8S ribosomal RNA", at positions 35 to 154 of the family's 154-position model. The record is from RNAcentral.